This 259-nucleotide ribosomal RNA is filed under the name uncultured archaeon. RNAcentral describes it as "partial 16S ribosomal RNA". It matches the Rfam family "Archaeal small subunit ribosomal RNA", at positions 748 to 1008 of the family's 1478-position model. The record is from RNAcentral.
AGGGUGUAAACGCUGCAGACUUGGUGUUGGAGGCCCUUUGGGGGCAUUCAGUGCCGGAGAGAAGUUGUUAAGUCUGCUACUUGGGGAGUACGUCCGCAAGGAUGAAACUUAAAGGAAUUGGCGGGGGAGCACCGCAACGGGAGGAGCGUGCGGUUUAAUUGGAUUCAACACCGUAAACUCACCAGGGAAGACUGUUACAUGAAGGUCGAGAUGAAGGUUUACAUGACUAGCUGAGAGGAGGUGCAUGGCGUCAGUGACU